CAGGCGCGAAAACUUUACAAUGCGGGAAACCGUGAUAAGGGGACACCGAGUGCCAGCAUCAUAUGCUGGCUGUCCGGGUGUGUAAAAUACACCUGUUAGCAAGGGCCGGGCAAGACCGGUGCCAGCCGCCGCGGUAACACCGGCGGCCCGAGUGGUGAUCGUGAUUAUUGGGUCUAAAGGGUCCGUAGCCGGUUUGGUCAGUCCUCCGGGAAAUCUGACAGCUCAACUGUUAGGCUUUCGGAGGAUACUGCCAGACUUGGAACCGGGAGAGGUAAGAGGUACUACAGGGGUAGGAGUGAAAUCUUGUAAUCCCUGUGGGACCACCUGUGGCGAAGGCGUCUUACCAGAACGGGUUCGACGGUGAGGGACGAAAGCUGGGGGCACGAACCGGAUUAGAUACCCGGGUAGUCCCAGCCGUGAACGAUGCUCGCUAGGUGUCAGGCAUGGCGCGACCGUGUCUGGUGCCGCAGGGAAGCCGUGAAGCGAGCCACCUGGGAAGUACGGCCGCAAGGCUGAAACUUAAAGGAAUUGGCGGGGGAGCACAACAACGGGUGGAGCCUGCGGUUUAAUUGGACUCAACGCCGGACAACUCACCGGGGGCGACAGCAAUAUGUAGGCCAGGCUGAAGACCUUGCCUGAAUCGCUGAGAGGAGGUGCAUGGCCGUCGCCAGUUCGUACUGUGAAGCAU
Molecule: ribosomal RNA, 688 nt
Filed under: uncultured archaeon
Lineage: Archaea
Description: bacterial SSU rRNA
Rfam family: Archaeal small subunit ribosomal RNA
Source: RNAcentral